RNAcentral lists this unclassified non-coding RNA (321 nucleotides) under fungal sp. RNAcentral's name for it is "partial internal transcribed spacer region". The stretch from base 1 to 46 matches the Rfam family "Eukaryotic small subunit ribosomal RNA", at positions 1786 to 1831 of the family's 1831-position model. Lineage: Eukaryota; Fungi. The record is from RNAcentral.
AAGUCGUAACAAGGUUUCCGUAGGUGAACCUGCGGAAGGAUCAUUAGAAAAUUUUGGGUUUUCUCAAAUCCUUAUACUCACCUGUGCACUGUUUAAUGUCUAUACUUUCCUGGUUCUGUAAGCUGAAAGACUAAUAGUCUGAAAGCUUUUGAUGUGGUUCUUUGAUUGGUUUGAAGGUUAAUUCGAAUUGAUCUUUUGACUACAAUCAGACCAGGAAAGUUUUUCAAACUCUAAUAAUUUACCUAGUCUGAUUUAAAUAUCCACUUGGAUAUUCUGAAGAAUUUGGAAAUACAACUUUCAACAAUGGAUCUCUUGGCUCUC